Molecule: ribosomal RNA, 421 nt
Filed under: uncultured bacterium
Lineage: Bacteria
Description: partial 16S ribosomal RNA
Rfam family: Bacterial small subunit ribosomal RNA
Source: RNAcentral
AAUAUUGGACAAUGGGGGCAACCCUGAUCCCGCCAUGCCGCGUGUGUGAAGAAGGUCUUUGGAUUGUAAAGCACUUUAAGUUGGGAGGAAGGGCUUUAGGUUAAUACACUGAAGUUUUGACGUUACCAUCUGAAUAAGCACCGGCUAACUCGGUGCCAGCAGCCGCGGUAAUACAGAGGGUCAAAGCGUUAAUCGGAAUUACUGGGCGUAAAGCGCGCGUAGGUGGUUCAGUAAGAUGGGUAUGAAAACCCCGGGCUUAACCUGGGAACUGCUUUCAUAACUGCUGAGCUAGAGUACGGUAGAGGGUAGUGGAAUUUCCUGUGUAGCGGUGAAAUGCGUAGAUAUAGGAAGGAACACCAGUGGCGAAGGCGACUACCUGGACUGAUACUGACACUGAGGUGCGAAAGAGUGGGGAGCAAAC